This 447-nucleotide ribosomal RNA is filed under the name Streptococcus cristatus. Its description in RNAcentral is "bacterial SSU rRNA". It matches the Rfam family "Bacterial small subunit ribosomal RNA", at positions 28 to 464 of the family's 1533-position model. The record is from RNAcentral. Lineage: Bacteria; Bacillati; Bacillota; Bacilli; Lactobacillales; Streptococcaceae.
GACGAACGCUGGCGGCGUGCCUAAUACAUGCAAGUAGAACGCUGAAGGAGGAGCUUGCUCUUCGGAUGAGUUGCGAACGGGUGAGUAACGCGUAGGUAACCUGCCUGGUAGCGGGGGAUAACUAUUGGAAACGAUAGCUAAUACCGCAUAAUAUUGACUAUUGCAUGAUAGUCAAUUGAAAGGUGCAAAUGCACCACUACCAGAUGGACCUGCGUUGUAUUAGCUAGUUGGUGGGGUAACGGCUCACCAAGGCGACGAUACAUAGCCGACCUGAGAGGGUGAUCGGCCACACUGGGACUGAGACACGGCCCAGACUCCUACGGGAGGCAGCAGUAGGGAAUCUUCGGCAAUGGACGGAAGUCUGACCGAGCAACGCCGCGUGAGUGAAGAAGGUUUUCGGAUCGUAAAGCUCUGUUGUAAGAGAAGAACGAGUGUGAGAGUGGAAAG